Molecule: long non-coding RNA, 318 nt
Organism: Drosophila simulans
Lineage: Eukaryota; Metazoa; Arthropoda; Insecta; Diptera; Drosophilidae
Exons: 3
Source: RefSeq, a predicted model, not a curated record
UGGAAAUUCAAAUAUCGCGUAUACGUAGCGUAUGCCAGCCACAAUGGGAGAAAACCGCUUGGAACGGGAUGGCAAGUAGCUAAAUGGAGAGCUAUUUUGUGAAAUGACGUCAAGUGAAGUGACAAAUAGCAGACGGAAAAACAAUUAAAAACUUAUUUCAAAUGUCAUCAAAAAGUAAUUAACUUUUAUUUAACAGAUUAAAUCACAAAAGAACUGAAUUGUGAAUAAAGGACCAACUUUGUGAUACCCUCUUCUUACUGCUACUCUUUAUGCUACAUUAAUCAUAUUAAAUAAAUUUGCCAAAAUAUCGUUAGGCUA